GGCGGUGCGCCUUAUGCAUGCAAGUCGAGCGAAGCUUUUCAGUAGUUUACUACAGAAAAUGACUGAGCGGCGAACGGGUGAGUAACGCGUGAGCAAUCUACCUUAGUUACAGGGAUAGCCCGAGGAAACUCGGAUUAAUACCUGAUAUUCUUUAUUUCUCGCAUGAGAAUAAAAGGAAAGGUCAGCCGAACUAAGAUGAGCUCGCGUUCUAUCAGCUAGUUGGUGAGGUAAAAGCUCACCAAGGCUACGACGGAUAGCUGGUCUGAGAGGACGAUCAGCCACACUGGGACUGAGACACGGCCCAGACUCCUACGGGAGGCUGCAGCAGGGAAUAUUGUGCAAUGAACGAAAGUUUGACACAGCGACACCGCGUGUGGGAUGACGGAUCUAGGUUUGUAAACCACUUUCAGGAGGGAAGAAAAUGACGGUACCUCCACAAGAAGCCCCGGCCAACUACGUGCCAGCAGCCGCGGUAAUACGUAGGGGGCGAGCGUUGUCCGGAUUUAUUGGGCGUAAAGAGCUCGUAGGCGGUUCAACAAGUCGGUCGUGAAAGUUCAGGGCUCAACUCUGAAAUGUCGAUCGAUACUGUUGUGACUAGGAUACGGUAGAGGUGAGUGGAAUUCCGAGUGUAGCGGUGAAAUGCGUAGAUAUUCUGAGGAACACCAAUAGCGAAGGCAGCUCACUGGGCCGCUAUCGACGCUGAGGAGCGAAAGCUA
RNAcentral lists this ribosomal RNA (716 nucleotides) under uncultured bacterium. RNAcentral describes it as "bacterial SSU rRNA". It matches the Rfam family "Bacterial small subunit ribosomal RNA", at positions 38 to 762 of the family's 1533-position model. The record is from RNAcentral.